GAUGAACGCUGGCGGCGUGCCUAAUACAUGCAAGUCGAGCGAACGGACGAGAAGCUUGCUUCUCUGAUGUUAGCGGCGGACGGGUGAGUAACACGUGGAUAACCUACCUAUAAGACUGGGAUAACUUCGGGAAACCGUAGCUAAUACCGGAUAAUAUUUUGAACCGCAUGGUUCAAAAGUGAAAGACGGUCUUGCUGUCACUUAUAGAUGGAUCCGCGCUGCAUUAGCUAGUUGGUAAGGUAACGGCUUACCAAGGCAACGAUGCAUAGCCGACCUGAGAGGGGUGAUCGGCCACCCGGGACCUGAGACCCGGCCCGACCCCCAAGGGGAGGCACCGUAAGGAAUUCUCCGGAAUGGGGCGAAGGCCUGCCGGGCAAAGCCGGCGGAAGUAUGAAGGGCCUCCGAUUCUUAAACCUCUUUUUUAGGGAAGAACAUAUGUGUAAGUAACUGUGCACAUCUUGACGGUACCUAAUCAGAAAGCCACGGCUAACUACGUG
RNAcentral lists this ribosomal RNA (497 nucleotides) under uncultured bacterium. RNAcentral describes it as "partial 16S ribosomal RNA". It matches the Rfam family "Bacterial small subunit ribosomal RNA", at positions 28 to 507 of the family's 1533-position model. The record is from RNAcentral.